This 126-nucleotide ribosomal RNA is filed under the name Phytophthora cf. rosacearum PB-2013. Its description in RNAcentral is "partial 28S ribosomal RNA". It matches the Rfam family "Eukaryotic large subunit ribosomal RNA", at positions 1 to 125 of the family's 3401-position model. The record is from RNAcentral. Lineage: Eukaryota; Oomycota; Peronosporomycetes; Peronosporales; Peronosporaceae.
UUGGACCUGAUAUCAAGCAAGAUUACCCGCUGAACUUAAGCAUAUCAUAAGCGGAGGAAAAGAAACUAACAAGGAUUCCCCUAGUAACGGCGAGUGACAGCGGGAGAGCUCAAGCUUAUAAUCUCC